This 254-nucleotide ribosomal RNA is filed under the name uncultured bacterium. Its description in RNAcentral is "partial 16S ribosomal RNA". It matches the Rfam family "Bacterial small subunit ribosomal RNA", at positions 524 to 776 of the family's 1533-position model. The record is from RNAcentral.
UACGGAGGGUGCAAGCGUUGUCCGGAUUUACUGGGUGUAAAGGGCGCGUAGGCGGGGAAGUGUGUCGGAAGUGAAAUCGUGCGGCUUAACCGUAUCAAUGGCUUCCGAAACUGUUUCUCUUGAGUGCGGAAGGGGCAGAUGGAAUUCCUGGUGUAGCGGUGGAAUGCGUAGAUAUCAGGAAGAACACCGGUGGCGAAGGCGGUCUGCUGGUCCGCAACUGACGCUGAGGCGCGAAAGUGUGGGGAGCAAACAGG